UAUAGGAGCUGACGCCUGCCCGGUGCUGGAAGGUUAAGGGGAUCUGUUAGAGCAAUCGAAGCAGUGAACUUAAGCCCCAGUAAACGGCGGCCGUAACUAUAACGGUCCUAAGGUAGCGAAAUUCCUUGUCGGGUAAGUUCCGACCCGCACGAAAGGCGUAACGAUUUGGGCACUGUCUCAACAACAGACUCGGUGAAAUUGUAAUUCCGGUGAAGAUGCCGGAUACCUGCGACAGGACGGAAAGACCCCAUGGAGCUUUACUGUAGCUUGACAUUGGGUCUUGGUACUACAUGUACAGGAUAGGUGGGAGGCUUUGAAACCAGGACGCCAGUUUUGGCGGAGCCAUCCUUGGGAUACCACCCUUGUAGUACUGGGACUCUAACCAUAGGCCAUGAAUCUGGUCUUGGGACACUGUCAGGUGGGCAGUUUGACUGGGGCGGUCGCCUCCCAAAAGGUAACGGAGGCGCUCAAAGGUUCUCUCAGUACGGUCGGAAAUCGUACGUAGAGUGUAAAGGCAAAAGAGAGCUUGAUUGCAAGACAUACAGGUCGAGCAAGGAUGAAAAUCGGACUUAGUGAUCCGGUGGUUCUGCGUGGAAGGGCCAUCGCUCAACGGAUAAAAGCUACCCUGGGGAUAACAGGCUUAUCUCCCCCAAGAGUCCACAUCGACGGGGAGGUUUGGCACCUCGAUGUCGGCUCAUCACAUCCUGGGGCUGUAGUAGGUCCCAAGGGUUGGGCUGUUCGCCCAUUAAAGUGGUACGCGAGCUGGGUUCAGAACGUCGUGAGACAGUUCGGUCCCUAUCCGUCGCAGGCGUAGGAAAUUUGAGAAGACCUGUCCUUAGUACGAGAGGACCGGGAUGGACGUACCUCUGGUGUACCAGUUGUCCUGCCAAGGGCAUGGCUGGGUAGCUAUGUACGGAAUGGAUAAGCGCUGAAAGCAUCUAAGCGCGAAGCCAACUUCAAGAUAAGAUUUCCCACCGCAAGGGUAAGACCCCAGAAAGACUAUCUGGUUGAUAGGUCGAAGGUGUAAGUGCAGCAAUGUAUUUAGCUUAUCGAUACUAAUAGGUCGAGGACUUGACCAA
Molecule: ribosomal RNA, 1079 nt
Filed under: Clostridioides difficile
Lineage: Bacteria; Bacillati; Bacillota; Clostridia; Peptostreptococcales; Peptostreptococcaceae
Description: bacterial LSU rRNA
Rfam family: Bacterial large subunit ribosomal RNA
Source: RNAcentral